RNAcentral lists this ribosomal RNA (453 nucleotides) under uncultured bacterium. Its description in RNAcentral is "bacterial SSU rRNA". It matches the Rfam family "Bacterial small subunit ribosomal RNA", at positions 340 to 786 of the family's 1533-position model. The record is from RNAcentral.
UACGGGAGGCAGCAGUGGGGAAUAUUGCACAAUGGGCGCAAGCCUGAUGCAGCCAUGCCGCGUGUAUGAAGAAGGCCUUCGGGUUGUAAAGUACUUUCAGCGGGGAGGAAGGCGAUGCGGUUAAUAACCGCGUCGAUUGACGUUACCCGCAGAAGAAGCACCGGCUAACUCCGUGCCAGCAGCCGCGGUAAUACGGAGGGUGCAAGCGUUAAUCGGAAUUACUGGGCGUAAAGCGCACGCAGGCGGUCUGUUAAGUCAGAUGUGAAAUCCCCGGGCUUAACCUGGGAACUGCAUUUUGAAACUGGCAGGCUUGAGUCUUGUAGAGGGGGUAGAAUUCCAGGUGUAGCGGUGAAAUGCGUAGAGAUCUGGAGGAAUACCGGUGGCGAAGGCGGCCCCUGGACAAAGCUGACGCUCAGGUGCGAAAGCGUGGGGAGCAAACAGGAUUAGGAUACC